This 468-nucleotide ribosomal RNA is filed under the name uncultured bacterium. RNAcentral describes it as "partial 16S ribosomal RNA". It matches the Rfam family "Bacterial small subunit ribosomal RNA", at positions 28 to 507 of the family's 1533-position model. The record is from RNAcentral.
GACGAACGCUGGCGGCGUGCUUAACACAUGCAAGUCGAACGGAAAGGCCCUGCUUUUGUGGGGUGCUCGAGUGGCGAAGGGGUGAGGAACACGUGAGUAACCUGCCCUUGACUUUGGGAGAACUUCAGGAAACUGGGGCUAAUACCGGAUAGGAGCUCCUGCUGCAUGGUGGGGGUGGGAAAGUUUCGGCGGGUGGGGAUGGACUCGCGGCUGAUCAGCUUGUUGGUGGGGGAGUGGCUUACCAAGGCUUUGACGGGUAGCCGGCCUGAGAGGGUGACCGGCCACAUUGGGACUGAGAUACGGCCCAGACUCCUACGGGAGGCAGCAGUGGGGAAUCUUGCCCAAUGGGCGGAAGCCUGAUGCAGCAACGCCGCGUGCGGGAUGACGGCCUUCGGGUUGUAAACCGCUUUCGCCUGUGACGAAGCGUGAGUGACGGUAAUGGGUAAAGAAGCACCGGCUAACUACGUG